AUAUAUCUAAGGUUUCCAGAGUAAAGCUGAUCUGCUCUGGGUAAGUCGGGGCCUAAGGCGAGGUCGAAAGACGUAGUCGAUGGAUAACAGGUUGAGAUUCCUGUACUUCAUGAUAUCAGAAAUGUGGGGACACAGAAGCGAAGCACAAGCCGGGAAUGGAAAGACCGGUGCAAGCUAAGGAGCAGUAUGAGAGGCAAAUCCCUCAUAUAAUGCGAGAGAGUGAAGCGUAGCGAACAUAAGGGUAGCGAAGUGUGUAGAGAGGCUGUCAGGAAAAGCCGCUAUUGUGUAUCAUGAACCCGUACCGUAAACCGACACAGGCGGAUGAGGAGAGAAUCCUAAGGCCGACGGAAGAAGCAUUGUUAAGGAAUUCGGCAAAAUGACCCCGUAACUUCGGGAGAAGGGGUGCCUGCGCAAGCAGGUCGCAGAGAAUUGGCCCAAGCAACUGUUUAGCAAAAACACAGGUUUAUGCGAAACCGAAAGGUGAAGUAUAUGAGCUGACGCCUGCCCGGUGCUGGAAGGUUAAGGGGAGUGCUUAGACUUUAGUCGAAGGUGCGAACUUAAGCCCCAGUAAACGGCGGCCGUAACAAUAACGGUCCUAAGGUAGCGAAAUUCCUUGUCGGGUAAGUUCCGACCCGCACGAAAGGCGUAAUGAUUUGGGCGCUGUCUCGACAAUGCAUCCGGUGAAAUUGAAGUACCAGUGAAGAUGCUGGUUACCCGCGCCAGGACGGAAAGACCCCAUGGAGCUUUACUCUAGUUUGAUGCUGGGAUUCGAUACUGCAUGUACAGGAUAGGCGGGAGACUGAGAAGUAGUGACGUCAGUUGCUACAGAGUCGCUGUUGGGAUACCGCCCCUGCAGUAUUGGGUUUCUAACCUGCGGCCGUAAGCCGGUCGGGGGACAACGUCAGGCGGGGAGUUUGACUGGGGCGGUCGCCUCCGAAAGGGUAUCGGAGGCGCUCAAAGGUUCCCUCAGAAUGGUCGGAAACCAUUCGAAGAGUGCAAAGGCAGAAGGGAGCUUGACUGCGAGACCGACGGGUCGAGCAGGUACGAAAGUAGGACUUAGUGAUCCGGUGGUAUGAAAGUGGGAUUGCCAUCGCUCAACGGAUAAAAGCUACCCUUGGGAUAACAGGCUUAUCACUCCCAAGAGUUCACAUCGACGGAGUGGUUUGGCACCUGAUGUCGGCUCAUCGCAUCCUGGGGCAGUAGCAGGUCCCAAGGGUUGGGCUGUUCGCCCAUUAAAGCGGUACGCGAGCUGGGUUCAGAACGUCGUGAGACAGUUCGGUCCCUAUCCGGCGCGGGCGUAGGAUAUCUGAAAGGAGCUGGCUUUAGUACGAGAGGACCGGGCUGGACGAACCGCUGGUUUACCUGUUGUCAUACCAAUGGCAUAGCAGGGUAGCCAAGUUUGGAAGGGAUAAACGCUGAAGGCAUCUAAGCGUGAAGCCCCCCUUAAGAUAAGAUAUCCCUGGAGUAAUCCAGUAAGACCCCUUGAAGACGACGAGGUAGAUAGGGCAGAGGUGGAAGUGUGGUAACACAUGCAGCUGACUGUCACUAAUAGGUCGAGGGCUUGACC
Molecule: ribosomal RNA, 1567 nt
Filed under: metagenome
Description: bacterial LSU rRNA
Rfam family: Bacterial large subunit ribosomal RNA
Source: RNAcentral